This is a non-coding RNA of Podarcis lilfordi (Lilford's wall lizard), 70 nucleotides long. The record is from the annotation of a GenBank genome assembly. NCBI's taxonomy places the organism in Eukaryota, Metazoa, Chordata, Lepidosauria, Squamata, Lacertidae.
GAAGUCCACAAGUUGGUAGAGCAGGAGACUCUUAAUCUCAGGAAUGUGGAUUCGAACCCCACGUUGAGCA